UUACAGCUAGUCCGAAAUUUAGCGAUGGACUUCCAGAGUCUGUUGAGAUCAGUGGUCAUCUUGGAAAACACAUCAAACUUAGGUGUAAAAUAGAAUCCAAUCCGGGAUCUUUUAUUAUCUGGUAUAAAGAAGAAGAAGAAAUCAAAUCUACAAAAAGGAUCCGCAUCUAUAAGAACUUCGUGUUGAUAAAGAAUUUCAGAGCCGAAGAUGCCAAAGAAUAUUUCUGCAAAGGCACAAAUCCUUUCGGGUACAUUGUCCGAAGAUUUUUUGUUUCUCUGUCUGAAAAUAAACUAAAAAAUGAUACAAAAGAAGAAUUGGACUUGAUGAAGAACCAACUAUCAAAAUUAACAAGAAAGUUUGAAGACUUUUCUAAUAAUAAUCUACACAUACAUAUAAACAAAGACAACGACGCCGAGGAUCAGUCAACAACAAUGAAAGGACAACAUAUUUUUCUGAAUUUAAUUUUGAAUGAGAAAGACUCACAUCAAGAUAAAUCUAUUG
This is a long non-coding RNA of Mytilus californianus (California mussel), 501 nucleotides long. RefSeq lists it as uncharacterized. The record is from RefSeq and is a predicted model, not a curated record. Lineage: Eukaryota; Metazoa; Mollusca; Bivalvia; Mytilida; Mytilidae. The transcript is spliced from 3 exons.